GAUAGUUGAGAAAUUUAGUAUCUUAGUAAUUUUUAGCUGUUAUUGUGGAAGACCUCCAAGACAAGAUAAGGUACCCUUGAACAUGUGGUUUUAAUGAUAUGCCAUGUUACUAUCAAUGGUGUGUCAUAAAUGGGCAUUAACAUUCUAAAUCACCUGGUUUGGAGAAUGUGUUAGCAGCAUAGCUAUGUUCAACUAAGGAAAUGGCUAAAUACCAGAAGUUUCCAGAGCCUUGGAACAGAUUUACAGGGGAACUCUAUAUGUAUGUGUAUAUUUU
This 274-nucleotide long non-coding RNA is filed under the name Bos taurus (domestic cattle). RNAcentral describes it as "long non-coding RNA NONBTAT022250". The record is from RNAcentral. Lineage: Eukaryota; Metazoa; Chordata; Mammalia; Artiodactyla; Bovidae.